Molecule: non-coding RNA, 175 nt
Filed under: Coscinodiscus wailesii
Lineage: Eukaryota; Bacillariophyta; Coscinodiscophyceae; Coscinodiscales; Coscinodiscaceae
Source: RNAcentral
CGCCUGGAUGCUUCUUCUUCUUUUUCCAAGGUUUCUUCUAUUGGCACUUGACGAAUAGACCCUGCAAGAAUCUCUCUUGUCGCCAGCUGGAAUGGUUCAUUGGCUAUGGCAUUCACGUUUGUCUCGCAGCAUCGUCUUGUCGACGGUAUUCAGUCUCGUAGUUCGGCCCGUGCCA